RNAcentral lists this ribosomal RNA (468 nucleotides) under uncultured bacterium. RNAcentral's name for it is "partial 16S ribosomal RNA". It matches the Rfam family "Bacterial small subunit ribosomal RNA", at positions 28 to 507 of the family's 1533-position model. The record is from RNAcentral.
GACGAACGCUGGCGGCGUGCUUAACACAUGCAAGUCGAACGGAAAGGCCCUGCUUUUGUGGGGUGCUCGAGUGGCGAACGGGUGAGUAACACGUGAGUAACCUGCCCUUGACUUUGGGAUAACUUCAGGAAACUGGGGCUAAUACCGGAUAGGAGCUCCUGCUGCAUGGUGGGGGUUGGAAAGUUUCGGCGGUUGGGGAUGGACUCGCGGCUUAUCAGCUUGUUGGUGGGGUAGUGGCUUACCAAGGCUUUGACGGGUAGCCGGCCUGAGAGGGUGACCGGCCACAUUGGGACGGAGAUACGGCCCAGACUCCAACGGGAGGCAGCGGUGGGGAAUAUUGCACAAGGGGCGGAAGCCUGAUGCAGCAACGCCGCGUGCGGGAUGACGGCCUUCGGGUUGUAAACCGCUUUCGCCUGUGACGAAGCGUGAGUGACGGUAAUGGGUAAAGAAGCACCGGCUAACUACGUG